GACGAACGCUGGCGGCGUGCUUAACACAUGCAAGUCGAACGGAAAGGCCCUGCUUUUGUGGGGUUCUCGAGUGGCGAACGGGUGAGUAACACGUGAGUAACCUGCCCUUGACUUUGGGAUAACUUCAGGAAACUGGGGCUAAUACCGGAUAGGAGCUCCUGCUGCAUGGUGGGGGUUGGAAAGUUUCGGCUGUUGGGGAUGGACUCGCGGCUUAUCAGCUUGUUGGUGUGGUAGUGGCUUACCAAGGCUUUGACGGGUAGCCGGCCUGAGAGGGUGAACGGCCACAUUGGGACUGCGAUACGGCCCAGACGCCUACGGGAGGCAGCAGUGGGGAAUAUUGCACAAUGGGCGGAAGCCUGAUGCAGCAACGCCGCGUGCGGGAUGACGGCCUUCGGGUUGUAAACCGCUUUCGCCUGUGACGAAGCGUGAGUGACGGUAAUGGGUAAAGAAGCACCGGCUAACUACGUG
This 468-nucleotide ribosomal RNA is filed under the name uncultured bacterium. RNAcentral describes it as "partial 16S ribosomal RNA". It matches the Rfam family "Bacterial small subunit ribosomal RNA", at positions 28 to 507 of the family's 1533-position model. The record is from RNAcentral.